UAGGACGCGCCCAGGGUGACACUGCUGGGUUAUGACAAACAUGGGCUAGAGCAGAGGUCUCCUGACUCUCCGCCCUGUGUCCAUCCUAGUUCUAGUAUCUCGCAGAGGUGACAGUAAAGGAAGUGAUGCCAUGGCCUCCCACCUCACUUCACACUGUUUUUUAAGUUUCUGACGCAGCUGAUCAGGAAAUUCUUCCUUGUUUCUAACCUGGUCCCCAAGCUUUGUAUGAGCCAGGUUUUCUCUAUAAUUUUCUCGUGAAGUACAGGGCAGAAGCCGAAGUCUUUCAGAGAGUCCCCUUCCCACUGUCAAUUUUAUUGUGUGCACUAAGUAGCCAGAGUGUGCAGCUUUUCCAACCCUUUAUUUCCCAAAUUGGGCAGCUUCUGAGUCUGAAAACCAAGGGGACCCCUUUCCCCACUCCAUCACCCCUUACCUCAAUCCCAUUUCACCUAAAUCAGUGAGCAAUAGGCAAUUGCUCACAGAUAGAGACAGUUCUUAACUGAAAUCCAUUAAGUCCCCCUAUGAUACAAUACCUGUGCAUAGGCAGGGAAGGAGCAGAGAAGGUUCUUGAAGGAAUGGGCUAACUCAACUCUCUAAUAAAGGCUGCUGGUCAGGAGGGGGAGCCCUAAUAGCACAGCCAUUCUGCUGGAUUCCACCCCUGGGGCAGCUGUCCCACCAGAACAGCUUAUGCAGAUGCAGAUUAUGGCUCUGACCUGCAGCUGUGCCACACUAUCUCCCAUCAAGUGCCCUUGAAC
RNAcentral lists this long non-coding RNA (752 nucleotides) under Marmota monax (woodchuck). The record is from RNAcentral. Lineage: Eukaryota; Metazoa; Chordata; Mammalia; Rodentia; Sciuridae.